Long non-coding RNA from Gallus gallus (chicken), 1703 nucleotides. The record is from Ensembl. Lineage: Eukaryota; Metazoa; Chordata; Aves; Galliformes; Phasianidae.
GUAGGUGCGGGACGGGGGGGUGCGGGGGGGCGCGGCACGGGGUGGAUCGCGGGGUCCGCAACCCGCGGGUCUCUGCCCGCUGCCGGCCGGGGUUGAGGCGGGGAGGGCCGGGCCCGGCCCGGCGCCGCGGGUGUCCGCGGGGCGACGCGUGGCCGCGCGGGGUCCCGUCGGGGUCCCGUUGACAGCCGCCCGCCGUCGCCGUACUCUUUGGGCCAAUGAAGCGGCUGUUCGCUUCUACCCCGAGCGAUCGCUCCCUUCGGCUCGCCCCGCAACCCGUCCCGCACCCGAGCAACGCGCGGCCCUCCUACGGCCGCGUUCCGUCCUCCACGCGGUCGGAGCUGCGGGACGGAGAAACGGGGAAAUAAAACGGAGAACGCGGCCGGGAGGUUCCCCGCCUCUGCCGGCAACCACGGCCCCGCGCCCCUCCCGCCCCGUCGGGGCCGCGCCCCGCUCCCCGCGCCCCGCCCGCCCGGGAUCGAUGCCCCCGACCCCAUCUGGGCCGUUCUCACGCGGGCGGCCCCGCUCCGCCCCGCUCCGCCAGCUGGGCGCUGCUACCAGGGGACCGCUUCCCUUUGACUGCGGCCCCAAGUGCCAUGUGUCGGGGGAUGAAUGCGCGGGAGGCGACGAGCAUCUCACGUCCAUCAAGCACCACUUUUUCACAGCGAUUUUUUUUUUCCCAGGCGUUAGCGAAAGCAUCUGCUCGGCCCGGCCCCCGCCCCCCGCCGUUCCCGGCCGCUUUCCGCCGCGGCUCCGCUCUCCGCCCCCGGAGCCGCGGGUGCCCGGGGCGCGUCUCGCACCCCCGGAGCGGUGCCCCCGUCGGGAUGCGGGGCUGAUUGCCGCCCCACUGUCCGCCCGGCACCGCGCGGCGCCGCUCCUCCGUUUGGUUCGGCGAGUAUGAAUUUCGCUGGCACCGCUCCCGCCCGGUUCGGUGUCCCCGCUGUCCCCACGGCCGCUCCUCGUUCCCCGCACGGACACCCCCGGGCGCAGCGGUGGGAGCACUCCCGGCGGCUCUCUCCUUUCGCCCGCUCUGCCCUUUCCCCCCUCGCAAGCUGUGAGCACGGCCGGGCCCGGCGCGCUGCAGCAGUUCGCUUUCACCCUUCCCGCGGCCGCCGCGAGUUGCGGGGCCUCCGUCGGUACCACGGAGCGCUGCGGGGCUGGGAGGGCCCUUCGCCCCGAGAGCGAUUUCUAAGGGCGGGCGGUGCGCUGCCCCCAACCGGGUCCGGGGAUGCGGGGGUCCGUUGGGCUCCCCUCGGCCCCGCACGGCCCGCUGCGCCUCUCCAGCAACUUUCCCCGCAGUGAGAGGGCGCGGGGUCGGGGCGCCGCCUGAACAAAGGUCUGCGGGGCGACGUCCCGAGCGAACAGCGCGGUGCGGCGGUGCUCCCACCCGUGGCACAGCCCUGCGCUCCCCACGGCCGGACGGGACGCCGCGCCGCGUCGGUGCCGACGAGCGCCGAAAAGAGCUCGGAGUUGCGGAGCGGUGCCCCGCAUCGCUGUGCCGCUCGCGGUGCGAUGCGGGGGUACGCACGGCCCCGCCCCCCUCCCCAUCCCCAACCCGGACGAACCCCGCCGGGGUUCUCUGCACGUCGGUAAAUGUCGUCGCUUACAUCCAAAGCUCUCGAUUUGUUUAUGGGAAAAUACAGUUAAUAAAUAAUUACAACUCCGACGGUGUGCGCGUCUGAGUGAGGGCUGCCGCCGGGCCGCGG